CCUGUCUUCAUGGUUACAGAAUCCAGUCUUU
RNAcentral lists this non-coding RNA (31 nucleotides) under Mus musculus (house mouse). The record is from RNAcentral. Lineage: Eukaryota; Metazoa; Chordata; Mammalia; Rodentia; Muridae. RNAcentral also lists the same sequence under 1 other name.